This 433-nucleotide ribosomal RNA is filed under the name uncultured bacterium. Its description in RNAcentral is "partial 16S ribosomal RNA". It matches the Rfam family "Bacterial small subunit ribosomal RNA", at positions 29 to 507 of the family's 1533-position model. The record is from RNAcentral.
GCGAACGCUGGCGGCAGGCCUAACACAUGCAAGUCGAACGAACCUUUCGGGGUUAGUGGCGGACGGGUGAGUAACACGUGGGAACGUGCCUUUAGGUUCGGAAUAACUCAGGGAAACUUGUGCUAAUACCGAAUGUGCCCUUCGGGGGAAAGAUUUAUCGCCUUUAGAGCGGCCCGCGUCUGAUUAGCUAGUUGGUUGAGGUAAUGGCUCACCAAGGCGACGAUCAGUAGCUGGUCUGAGAGGAUGAUCAGCCACAUUGGGACUGAGACACGGCCCAAACUCCUACGGGAGGCAGCAGUGGGGAAUCUUGCGCAAUGGGCGAAAGCCUGACGCAGCCAUGCCGCGUGAAUGAUGAAGGUCUUAGGAUUGUAAAAUUCUUUCACCGGGGACGAUAAUGACGGUACCCGGAGAAGAGGCCCCGGCUAACUUCGUG